AACAAAUUUUAUUUAGGCUAAUGCUGCAUACAUUUGUAAUGAAUUGUGCACAUUAAAGACAUUAGGUAACUUACUUCACGAAAAUCCACUCUAUAUUGAAUUAUUCAGGAUCUGUGAAUUCAAGUGAAGGCCCUGCAUUCAUGUAUGAAUUCUGUUGUGGAAAUCUCAUUUUGAAUGACUGGUUUUUAAAUAAUUUCAUUCGUUUUAUCAGGUGCGGCUGGAAUCCCUGUUGCAGCUCAGGCUGCCAUAGGUGCCAUAGGUGCCACUGUGGGUGCAGCUGUGGGUGGACCAUUGAUAUGCAGUGCAGGAGCCACAGGUGCUGUCGCAAGCGGAGGCAUCGUGGGAACUGCCGUGAGCUCAGUUGCCAGGUUAAUCGGCAACUGCACUGCGUAAAUGCCCCAAAAGGCCCUUCAGAAAAUGGGCAAUUGGUUUUACAGCAAGACCAGCAUACAAAAAAGACAAUUUACAAUACAUAAAAAAGUACAUUAAAAAAAACACAGGACCACACAAGACAAAACAACUACCUGCUUCCACCUAUACUUCCACCCACAUGCCCAAAUUUAGCAAAGAGAUAGAAGUAGGAAUAAAUGAAUGUUUGUACCUGUUACUCCUAACAGAAGGAAAUCUUAACCGAGAUCCUGAGGGUAAAAACAAACUCAAAGUAGAGAGGAUGGGAAGUAACCAUUAAGAUGGAUUGUGCUUUUCUAACUACCUGGCGAUUAUGUAGGUCGGUAGGAUGACUCUGCUGAACUCCUAAAAUCUUACUGCUAGUGUUAACAAUUUUCACCAGUGCAGUCUUUGCCUUAGACUGCCAUACCAGCAUAACAUAGCAAAUGCUAAAACAGACUCAAUAUAAGAGUCAUCAGGAAUCUAUUAACGUAAAAUUUGGACAGUCUCCAUAGACAGACGUUGCAGGCCCCUUUUACAAAUCUUCUCCACAUUGACAUUCAAAUUCAGCUUGUUAUCAAUCACACAUCCCAAAUACUUAUAUGAUUCCACAAACUCAACCUCCUGAUCUUUAAUAGUGGUUCUCUUUAUACCACUUUGAUUACGCCUAAAAUCAAUAUGCAUGUCUUUAGUUUUUAACACAUUUAUUUGCAGGAAUGCAUUAUCACACCACUGAACAAAAUCAUCUACCACGAGGCCAUGGUCAUUUUCAUCCGCAUGGAGGAGGCUGACAAUAGCUGAAUCAUCUGCAUAUUUUACAAUAAAUCUAUUCUCAUGCCUACUCCUGCGAUCGUCAGUGUAUAAAAUAUACAGGAGUGGAGAAAGCACACAUCCCUGAGGGGACCCUGUGGAUGAAGACAGUACCUCAGACAAACACCCAUUUACCCUUACUCUCUGAAUUGGAUCAGUUAGAAGGUCAAGGAUUCAACCAAUGAUACAAAAAUCAAAACCAAAGCUCAAAAGUUAAUUUCUCUACUAAAAUGUGAGGUUGAAUCAUAUUAAAAGCAGAUGAGAAAUCAACAAAUAAAAUUCUAGCAUUAGUCUUAGUUCCCUCUAAAUGCUUAAGUACCAAAUUCAACAAGGUGGCCGUAGCAUCCUCUACCCUACACCUGGCCCUAUAAGCAAACUGAAGAGGAUCGAGAGAAUCUUCUACCAUUGUAAGGAGCUCUUUUUUUCAACAAUCUCUCAAAACGUUUCAUUACUAAAGAGGUCAGCGCAACUGACCUAAAAUCUUUUAGUUCUACUGGAUGAUUAUUUUUAGCCACUGGGAUGACUGUAGAGGAUUUCCAUAAUCUCGGCACCUUCUGUUGAAUAAGGGACAGUUGAAAAAUAAAAUAAUAAAUAGUUCCCAAUUGCUCUGCACAGGAGAUAAGCAGCCAACCUUCAAUAUUAUCAGGGCCCAAGCUUUUCCCAGC
This 1862-nucleotide long non-coding RNA is filed under the name Sinocyclocheilus grahami. RNAcentral's name for it is "lncRNA (ENSSGRG00000025892.1)". Lineage: Eukaryota; Metazoa; Chordata; Actinopteri; Cypriniformes; Cyprinidae. The record is from RNAcentral.